UACGGAGGCUGCAAGCGUUAUCCGGAAUUAUUGGGCGUAAAGCGUCCGCAGGUGGCUGAUCAAGUCUGCUGUUAAAGCGUGCAGCUUAACUGCAUAAAGGCAGUGGAAACUGAUUAGCUAGAGUUUGGUAGGGGUCACGGGAAUUCCCAGUGUAGCGGUGAAAUGCGUAGAUAUUGGGAAGAACACCAGCGGCGAAAGCGCGUGACUGGGCCUGAACUGACACUCAUGGACGAAAGCUAGGGGAGCGAAAGGG
RNAcentral lists this ribosomal RNA (253 nucleotides) under uncultured bacterium. RNAcentral's name for it is "partial 16S ribosomal RNA". It matches the Rfam family "Bacterial small subunit ribosomal RNA", at positions 524 to 776 of the family's 1533-position model. The record is from RNAcentral.